GACGAACGCUGGCGGCGUGCUUAACACAUGCAAGUCGAACGGUAAGGCCCCAGCUUGCUGGGGUACACGAGUGGCGAACGGGUGAGUAACACGUGGGUGACCUGCCCUGCACUUCGGGAUAAGCUCGGGAAACUGGUCUAAUACCGGGUAGGGCGGCCCCGCGAGGGGGUGGGGGAAAGUUUUUUCGGUGGGGGAUGGACGCGCGGCCUAUCAGCUUGUUGGUGGGGUAGUGGCCUACCAAGGCGGCGACGGGUAGCCGGCCUGAGAGGGUGGACGGCCACAUUGGGACUGAGACACGGCCCAGACUCCUACGGGAGGCAGCAGUGGGGAAUAUUGCACAAUGGGCGGAAGCCUGAUGCAGCGACGCCGCGUGGGGGAUGACGGCCUUCGGGUUGUAAACUCCUUUCACCAUCGACGAAGGGUUUCUGACGGUAGAUGGAGAAGAAGCACCGGCUAACUACGUG
RNAcentral lists this ribosomal RNA (464 nucleotides) under uncultured bacterium. RNAcentral describes it as "partial 16S ribosomal RNA". It matches the Rfam family "Bacterial small subunit ribosomal RNA", at positions 28 to 507 of the family's 1533-position model. The record is from RNAcentral.